GUGUAAAUUUAACUGAGAGAUUGUUAGCAACUCCCUGCGAAAGGACGAGACCUAGGAAUUUCCUAUAAACUUUAUGUUAAAUGCAACCACUCUCACAAGUUUUUUU
Molecule: non-coding RNA, 106 nt
Filed under: Stylonychia lemnae
Lineage: Eukaryota; Ciliophora; Spirotrichea; Sporadotrichida; Oxytrichidae
Source: RNAcentral